CAACCUGGUGGUACGGAAUGUGGAUUUUUUGUGAUGCGCUAUAUGAAAGAAAUAGUGCAAGGGUUUGAAAAGGACGCCAAUAUUUCUCUGCCAUCAUUGGUAAAUGCUUAUAAAUAUAUACUAUCAUAUUUUAAUGUAACAUGUUUCAUAAAUUAUACUUGACCACUAAUUUUUAUUUACAGUUUACGAAUGUACAAUAUUCUCAAGUUGAAAUCGAUGAAGUUCGCGAGGAAUUGGCUAAGUGUGUUCUUACACAUGUAUUGGACUGAUCAGGUAUGUUUGACUUGUGAAUUAUGAUAAGGUUAUUAAUCCUCUUAUAUCAUCCCUAAGUGUUGGUGAUAUACAUGUGCCAUAUUAAUCCUCUUAUAUCAUCCUCUUAUACUUGUGAAUUAUGAUCAGCCUUUAAAAUUCACAUAUAUAACUUAAGUAACAAAUUACUGAAACUGGGCUUUUGAGAUUAAGUUUAGAUUCAAACAUUUGUGAAGUUAAUCUUCAUUUAGCAUCAUUUUUAGUUUCUUUACAUGGCACAUAGUAUUAUGUUUUACUGAUUUUGUUUCAUGGUCAGGUGGCAAUAACAGUUAGCAGGAAGAUAGGAAGCUAGAUGUGGCAUUUUGGUUGGUGUUUUGUAUGUCUUUUGAAUCUGGAAAAAAUGUAAGAAUAUGGAAAAGCAAGUGUUGAACACCAUUUUUUUGUUAAUAUUGUUUGGAUGUAAAUUACAUGACUAUUUUAGGUACUUUGAAGCUACAAUGUAUGGAAGUUUAAAUUAUGUUAUAUAAUAUGUUUUGG
Molecule: long non-coding RNA, 786 nt
Filed under: Salvia miltiorrhiza (redroot sage)
Lineage: Eukaryota; Viridiplantae; Streptophyta; Magnoliopsida; Lamiales; Lamiaceae
Description: long non-coding RNA (SMIL_LNC005325)
Source: RNAcentral